GAUGAACGCUGGCGGCGUGCUUAACACAUGCAAGUCGAACGGAGCACUUAUGACAGAUUCUUCGGGUGAUGGAUUAAGUGACUGAGUGGCGGACGGGUGAGUAACGCGUGGGUAACCUGCCUCAUACAGGGGGAUAACAGUUAGAAAUGACUGCUAAUACCGCAUAAGCGCACAGUACCGCAUGGUACGGUGUGAAAAACUCCGGUGGUAUGAGAUGGACCCGCGUCUGAUUAGCUAGUUGGUGGGGUAACGGCCUACCAAGGCGACGAUCAGUAGCCGACCUGAGAGGGUGACCGGCCACAUUGGGACUGAGACACGGCCCAAA
This 325-nucleotide ribosomal RNA is filed under the name uncultured bacterium. RNAcentral describes it as "bacterial SSU rRNA". It matches the Rfam family "Bacterial small subunit ribosomal RNA", at positions 28 to 335 of the family's 1533-position model. The record is from RNAcentral.